This 571-nucleotide long non-coding RNA is filed under the name Pandoravirus quercus. Its description in RNAcentral is "hypothetical ncRNA". The record is from RNAcentral.
GGCAAAUGCGAGGGCGCGCGCCGCAUUGAUGAUCGAGUAGCGAUUCGCCGCCAAGGGCAGGCCCAGCGCCCGCGCGUUGAUCGUGGUCUCUUGGCAAAUGUGUUGGAUAUCGCGGUUGGAACCGCACAGGCCGAUGACCUGCGCCCCGCGGCCCAGCACCAGCAUGCGCUCCAAAAGUUCGACCAGUACCUCGCGCGGCAGGGCCUCGACAAGACUCCACUCGUCUAUCGGCAGCGACGGUGUUGGCGGGGCUGUCUCGCGUGGCGGUCGCAUGACUUCGCUCGUCUCGGUGGUGCCCAUGGUUGGUGCUGGCCGGCCUAGCACUAAACCAAACCGUUGUUGGUAAUCGAUGCGUGGGCGGCGGCGCGGCGGCUCCUCCACGUCGGGUUGUGUGGGCGUCUCGGCACGCGGGCGCCUGCGCGACGGCCAUUCCGGCUCCUCCAUGGCGUGCCCCUGAACCUCUUUUUUUUCUUUCUUCUUUUCGCGGUCUAGCGAGGGUGGACAAUGGCCGCCAAUAAAAAAACAAAAGUUGGGCAGGCGCCGACGAUUGCCGACCGACGGCACGAUUUUG